RNAcentral lists this ribosomal RNA (398 nucleotides) under uncultured bacterium. RNAcentral's name for it is "partial 16S ribosomal RNA". It matches the Rfam family "Bacterial small subunit ribosomal RNA", at positions 523 to 918 of the family's 1533-position model. The record is from RNAcentral.
AUACGUAGGGUGCGAGCGUUGUCCGGAAUUACUGGGCGUAAAGAGCUCGUAGGUGGUUUGUCGCGUCGUCUGUGAAAUUCCGGGGCUUAACUCCGGGCGUGCAGGCGAUACGGGCAUAACUUGAGUACUGUAGGGGAGACUGGAAUUCCUGGUGUAACGGUGAAAUGCGCAGAUAUCAGGAGGAACACCGGUGGCGAAGGCGGGUCUCUGGGCAGUAACUGACGCUGAGGAGCGAAAGCAUGGGUAGCGAACAGGAUUAGAUACCCUGGUAGUCCAUGCCGUAAACGGUGGGCGCUAGGUGUAGGGGUCUUCCACGACUUCUGUGCCGUAGCUAACGCAUUAAGCGCCCCGCCUGGGGAGUACGGCCGCAAGGCUAACACUCAAAUGAAUUGACGGGG